This 77-nucleotide transfer RNA is filed under the name Bradyrhizobium forestalis. RNAcentral describes it as "Bradyrhizobium sp. INPA54B tRNA-Arg". It matches the Rfam family "tRNA". From Rfam's summary of the family: Transfer RNA (tRNA) molecules are approximately 80 nucleotides in length. Their secondary structure includes four short double-helical elements and three loops (D, anti-codon, and T loops). The record is from RNAcentral. Lineage: Bacteria; Pseudomonadati; Pseudomonadota; Alphaproteobacteria; Hyphomicrobiales; Nitrobacteraceae.
GCGCCCGUAGCUCAGCUGGAUAGAGCAUCGGACGACGAAUCUGUGGGACAGACGUUCGAAUCGUUCCGGGCGCGCCA